CAUUGAAACACUGGUUCUCAUACAAUCAACAAAGUUAAGCAACAUUGAGCCUGGUCAGUACCUGGAUGGGUGACUGCUUGGGAAUACCAGGUGUUAUA
RNAcentral lists this ribosomal RNA (98 nucleotides) under Acanthosepion pharaonis. Lineage: Eukaryota; Metazoa; Mollusca; Cephalopoda; Sepiida; Sepiidae. The record is from RNAcentral.